CUCUUAUCAAGAGUGGCAGAGGGACUGGCCCUAUGACGCCCAGCAACCAUCUCAGAUCGUGAGAAAGGUGCUAAUUCCAGCAAACGAGCAAUCGUUUGAAAGAUAAGAG
This is a non-coding RNA of 109 nucleotides. It matches the Rfam family "SAM riboswitch aptamer (S box leader)". Rfam says of the family: The SAM riboswitch is found upstream of a number of genes which code for proteins involved in methionine or cysteine biosynthesis in Gram-positive bacteria.